GUUGUUGUGGCCAAGAGGUUAAGGCGAUGGACUUAAAAUCCAUUGGGGUUCCCCCGCGCAGGUUCCAAUCCUGCCAGCAACG
This is a non-coding RNA of Pungitius pungitius (ninespine stickleback), 82 nucleotides long. NCBI's taxonomy places the organism in Eukaryota, Metazoa, Chordata, Actinopteri, Perciformes, Gasterosteidae. The record is from the annotation of a RefSeq genome assembly.